RNAcentral lists this ribosomal RNA (469 nucleotides) under uncultured bacterium. RNAcentral describes it as "partial 16S ribosomal RNA". It matches the Rfam family "Bacterial small subunit ribosomal RNA", at positions 28 to 507 of the family's 1533-position model. The record is from RNAcentral.
GACGAACGCUGGCGGCGUGCUUAACACAUGCAAGUCGAACGGAAAGGCCCUGCUUGCCGGGUGCUCGAGUGGCGAACGGGUGAGUAACACGUGGGUGAUCUGCCCCUUACUUUGGGAUAAGCCUGGGAAACUGGGUCUAAUACUGGAUAGGACCAUGCUGUAGGUGGUGUGGUGGAAAGAUUAGUUUCGGUAAGGGAUGAGCUCGCGGCCUCUCAGCUUGUUGGUGGGGUAAUGGCCUACCAAGGCGUCGACGGGUAGCCGGCCGGGGAGGGUGGACGGCCACAUUGGGACUGAGAUACGGCCCAGACUCCUACGGGAGGCAGCAGUGGGGAAUAUUGCACAAUGGGCGCAAGCCUGAUGCAGCGACGCCGCGUGGGGGAUGACGGCCUUCGGGUUGUAAACUCCUUUCAGCCAUGACGAAGCCCUUGUGGUGACGGUAGUGGUAGAAGAAGCACCGGCUAACUACGUG